Long non-coding RNA from Megalops cyprinoides (Indo-Pacific tarpon), 429 nucleotides. RefSeq lists it as uncharacterized. The transcript has 3 exons. NCBI's taxonomy places the organism in Eukaryota, Metazoa, Chordata, Actinopteri, Elopiformes, Megalopidae. The record is from RefSeq and is a predicted model, not a curated record.
CCUGUCAGAGCCUGUGUCUUUGCAUGGAUUGUACGAAUGUUUUGCCAUAAACUAAUGAGUCAACCCACGCACGACUUAAUAUAUGCCAGUUGUUUAUCUGUGCAUAUAAACAAGGAAACAGGCAAGUCAGCCGUCCGCUGUUGUCAUUCAUUGUUUUAGGAACCGAGCCAGGACGAGGACGAAGAAGCUUCUGCUGUCUUUGGACUCAAAACUCGCAAAGCAGACCACGAGAAGAAAAAAGAAUUCCAUGGGCAUGAUGAUUCUCCAGAGUGUUGUCUUAAUCGGCGCGUUUUUAUUGGCCUACGGCAUGGAGACAGAUGUGAUCAUCUGUCUGGAAAAUGGCACUCAAACAACAAGAAUAAAUCAAACCACUGUUAUAAGAGACAUUGUCAACCAGAGCCUGAUGUGUGAAUGGAACUCAAUUCCCUG